RNAcentral lists this ribosomal RNA (422 nucleotides) under Fusobacteriota bacterium. RNAcentral describes it as "Fusobacteria bacterium partial 16S ribosomal RNA". It matches the Rfam family "Bacterial small subunit ribosomal RNA", at positions 355 to 776 of the family's 1533-position model. The record is from RNAcentral. Lineage: Bacteria; Fusobacteriati; Fusobacteriota.
UGGGGGAUUUUGCACAAUGGGCGCAAGCCUGAUGCAGCGACGCCGCGUGAGGGAUGAAGGCCUUCGGGUUGUAAACCUCUUUCGCUGGGUUGAAAGGCCAUGCUUUGGGUGUGGUUGAUUUGAACUGGUAAAGAAGUACCGGCUAACUACGUGCCAGCAGCCGCGGUAAUACGUAGGGUACUUGCGUUGUCCGGAUUUAUUGGGCGUAAAGGGCUUGUAGGUGGUUUGUCGCGUCUGUCGUGAAAUCCUGUGGCUUAACCAUGGGCUUGCGGUGGGUACGGGCAGGCUUGAGUGCGGUAGGGGAGACUGGAAUUCCUGGUGUAGCGGUGGAAUGCGCAGAUAUCAGGAGGAACACCGGUGGCGAAGGCGGGUCUCUGGGCCGUUACUGACACUGAGGAGCGAAAGCGUGGGGAGCGAACAGG